Molecule: non-coding RNA, 150 nt
Organism: Triticum aestivum (bread wheat)
Lineage: Eukaryota; Viridiplantae; Streptophyta; Magnoliopsida; Poales; Poaceae
Source: Rfam
CUACUACUCCCUCCGUUCCAAAAUAGAUGACUCAACUCUGUACUAAAGUUAGUACAAAGUUGGGUCAUAUAUUUUGGAACGGAUAACUCAACUCUGUACUAAAGUUAGUACAAAGUUGGGUCAUAUAUUUUGGAACGGAGGGAGUAUAUC